CAUAGUUUUGCUGCGAACAAGGCAGUCGAGGAUACAGUGAAUGAACCGGGACGGCCAAAUAUAACAGGUGCAGAGCGUGUGGUGCCUAAUUCGUUUGUAAUAUUAGGCCUAAUUAGCAAUAAAGUCAGAUAACACUGUUAGUUAUUUCUCCGUGUCCGGUGGAAAUCGCUUGCUCACCGAUUGGUGAAGCAGCCUGCCAAUUAGCGUUAUGCGUUCUAAUUGGCCAGUCCUCUCCUCCCGGGAACGCCCCUUUAAAUGUUCAAAGGAGUGUGGAGAUUUCUAUGCAGAAGAAGUGAACGGAACGAACAACGACAGCUGGAGACGCGCUGUGGUACUGCCACCAGUAGUAACAGUAGUAAGAGUAGUAACAGUAGUAAUAGUAGUAACAGUAGUAAUAGUAGAAGAACUAGUAGCAGUAAAAUUAGUAAUAGCGGCAGUACUACUGCUGUGGUCCCAGAAGAACAUUUCUCGACCAUGGAGCUGGAGGAGAAGUCUAAAUACGCUGGGUGGCUGGUGGAAACCAGGUCCAAACUCCGUCCGUGAGUCAGUGAGCGAGCGCUGGCGCACCCGGACUCGCAGGACAGACUCAGAGGGCGCUGCAGACCCUCCGGGAGCAGCCGUGGUUCCGGGAGGUCCAACCCGUCCACACCUCUGCCCUGGGCUGUAAAUAUUACCAUGUGCUCAUAACGCUGCGGCGUGUGGAGGACCAGGCCUGCCUGAUCCGGUGCUGGAGAACAUGCCCGGGCUUCUGGUUCUGUGUGAGGUUUAAGGUUCUCAUUAAUGGCUGAUUAUUGUGAUAGCGACACACCCUGUUGUGGCUAAUGUGCAACACAGCUCAGCACUAAAGCAGCGACGGGGGGACUGUCCUCUGAGCGGAUGUGUUCUGGACCUGAUCGGGCUGGGCCCCAGCUUUUGGGUCAAACGACAUGCAGAAUGGAAGCCAUGAGGUUCUUUUGCUCGUUUCCUCCUGCACACACUUUCCUUUGGACUCGUCCGGCGUGUCUCUGGCCCAAUGGACCCAUCAGUCUGGACCCGGUCCAGUGGACACAGGGACUCACUGAGGAGACAGACUAGUAUCUGAGCUGGUGGGAGGAGCCGGUUCCGACUGCUGAAGCAGCACCUGUGGUUUGUGGGGAAACAUUUAAUGCUGAGUUCUGCAGGAGACGAGAGCUUCCAAGAGCCACCAGCUUGUUUCAACAUUUAGUGGAGACUAGAUGUGUCACGUGUCGGAGUCAUUUGUGGCUGAGCCUCCUGCACAUCUCCUAUAAUUACGACCCUCACUUUUGGGAGGUGGUUUGAAACAUGAGCCUCCUGUUUCAUGUCUGCUGCUGUUUGUUCCAGUUCCAUUUGCUGUCGCUUAUUUUUAGUUCCUCUGUUUCUGUCGUCUCUUUAAAUGUGAAAGCAGCUCCAGGCCUCUCCAGCUUCUGCCAGCUCUUUCAGGGCAGCGCUGGGCGGGUCGGUCCUGCGGGUCGGUGCUGCGGCUCGGUCCUGCGGGUCGGUGCUGCGGGUCCGUCCUGCGGGUCCGUCCUGCGGCUCGGUGCUGCGGGUCGGUGCUGCGGGUCCGUCCUGCGGCUCGGUGCUGCGGGUCGGUGCUGCGGGUCCGUCCUGCGGGUCCGUCCUGCGGCUCGGUGCUGCGGGUCGGUGCUGCGGGUCCGUCCUGCAGCUCAGUGCUGCGGCUCAGUGCUGCGGGUCGGUCCUGCGGGUCCGUCCUGCGGCUCGGUCCUCCGGGUCAGGCCUGCGGGUCGGUGCUGCGGGUCGGUCCUGCGGGUCCGUCCUGCGGCUCGGUGCUGCGGGUCGGUCCUGCAGCUCAGUGCUGCGGGUCGGUGCUGCGGCUCGGUCCUGCGGGUCGGUCCUGCGGGUCGGUGCUGCGGCUCAGUGCUGCGGGUCGGUCCUGGGGGUCGGUCCUGCGGGUCGGUGCUGCGGUUCGGGCCUGCGGGUCGGUGCUGCGGGUCGGUGCUGCGGGUCCGUCCUGCAGCUCAGUGCUGCGGCUCAGUGCUGCGGGUCGGUCCUGCGGGUCCGUCCUGCGGCUCGGUCCUCCGGGUCAGGCCUGCGGGUCGGUGCUGCGGGUCGGUCCUGCGGGUCCGUCCUGCGGCUCGGUGCUGCGGGUCGGUCCUGCAGCUCAGUGCUGCGGGUCGGUGCUGCGGCUCGGUGCUGCGGCUCAGUGCUGCGGGUCGGUCCUGCGGGUCGGUCCUGGGGGUCGGUCCUGCGGGUCGGUGCUGCGGUUCGGGCCUGCGGGUCGGUGCUGCGGGUCGGUGCUGCGGCUCGGUCCUGCGGGUCCGUCCUGCGGGUCGGUGCUGCGGCUCAGUGCUGCGGGUCGGUCCUGCGGGUCGGUGCUGCGGGUCGGUGCUGCGGCUCGGUCCUGCGGGUCGGUCCUGCGGGUCGGUGCUGCGGUUCGGGCCUGCGGGUCGGUGCUGCGGGUCGGUCCUGCGGGUCGGUCCUGCGGGUCGGUCCUGCGGGUCGGUGCUGCGGGUCGGUCCUGCGGCUCGGUGCUGCGGGUCGGUCCUGCAGCUCAGUGCUGCGGCUCAGUGCUGCGGGUCGGUCCUGCGGGUCCGUCCUGCGGCUCGGUCCUCCGGGUCAGGCCUGCGGGUCGGUGCUGCGGGUCGGUCCUGCGGGUCCGUCCUGCGGCUCGGUGCUGCGGGUCGGUCCUGCAGCUCAGUGCUGCGGGUCGGUGCUGCGGCUCGGUGCUGCGGCUCAGUGCUGCGGGUCGGUCCUGCGGGUCGGUCCUGGGGGUCGGUCCUGCGGGUCGGUGCUGCGGUUCGGGCCUGCGGGUCGGUGCUGCGGGUCGGUGCUGCGGCUCGGUCCUGCGGGUCCGUCCUGCGGCUCGGUGCUGCGGCUCGGUCCUGCAGCUCAGUGCUGCGGGUCGGUGCUGCGGCUCGGUCCUGCGGGUCGGUCCUGCGGGUCGGUGCUGCGGGUCGGUCCUGCGGGUCGGUCCUGCGGGUCGGUCCUGCGGGUCGGUGCUGCGGUUCGGGCCUGCGGGUCGGUGCUGCGGGUCGGUCCUGCAGCUCAGUGCUGCGGGUCGGUGCUGCGGGUCGGUGCUGCGGGUCGGUGCUGCGGCUCGGUCCUGCGGUUCGGGCCUGCGGGUCGGUGCUGCGGGUCGGUCCUGCGGGUCGGUCCUGCGGGUCGGUCCUGCGGGUCGGUGCUGCGGUUCGGGCCUGCGGGUCGGUCCUGCAGGUCGGUGAGGUUUGUUGCUGUUGUCUGGUCUCAGGGUUUGUUGACCUUUCAGUGUUGAGAGGACUGCAAUAAGCACCAUCCAGUCCAGAACAUGGGCAUUGACUUGGGUCUGGUUCUAACUGGACCUCUGAACGCUGGGGUUCGUCUCCAGCCACUUUACUGGUCAGAUCGUGAUGCUUUGUCACCUUAAACACUGAGCUGGCUGAUGUUCAUCACGUGGUGGCUUUGGCUGGUGCGCUCCUCACUCGUGGAUGCGUGAUGCCUCCUUUAAACUGGAUCAGAACCGUAAACGCUGUGCUAUGUGGUUGGUGGCCCUUUUCGUCACAGCAGGACAUGCUCAAACGUUUGGCUGUGGCUUCCUGUGUAUCUGUAAAUAGACGUGAGCGUGGCCUUUAGCGUCCACGCCCUGCUACUGUGCUGAAAGGUUCCCAGAGGAACCAAAUGUCGACAUGUGUACGCGGCAGCCAGUUCCCUGAACUAAUACCGGGUACAACUAUGGAAGUCCAUCUGGACUCAACAUCUGUUUUCCAGAUGUGCUGUGAGGGAGGAGAGGAAUCUGGGGACGCUGUGCUUGGCUUUCGUUUUCAUGUAUGUAGAAGAGUUAGGGCUCAACGUGUUUAUCACCGGGUGCAAUCUGAUCACGGAACCAGAAAUGCUCGGCUCCUCGUUUCCCACAAACCAACAGCCGUGUUUCACUGUUGUUGAUCAGGAAACUGUGGUAGAGCUGCAGCUCUUCAGGAAACUGGUUCACAUGUGAGAAAUGAAAGCUCAGUUUAAAGGCGUGUUCUCCUGCUGACAAACGGGGCAUUUUAGGGCGUCUUCUUGGUCCACUUGUAGAAAUAAAUUAAAUGAAACAAUACUGUUUCUAUCAUUUCUCUGUGUCUGGUCAUGACGGGUCAUGACGCCUCCGUGGAGUCUCGCUCGGACUCGGAAUGCCCCGAGCACCUGAAGUGAAUGUUCCCAGAGUGGAGGCAGAGCUGCUUCCUCCUCCUCCUCCAGCUUCACGUGGCAGGUAGAUGAGGGCCAGUCUGCCUGUGGGGGGCGGAGCCACAGGGAGCUGCACAGGUGGAGCCAGGCUCUUUCCCAGUAAACACCCGGCAGGGGAGAGGUUGGAGAGGUGGAACCUCCCAGCUAUUCACAGACUGGUUAAACUGGUUCGGCCUCCGCAGUAUCUGCCAUUAAACCCAGUACAGACGGAGAAAGAAGACUGAAAACGUCCCUGUACCACAGAGAAAGGACGUCAGGCAUGGCCGAGGAUGGGGAGUAUUACGGAAAGCACGGGGAACCGAGGAAGCACGACCCGAACUUCCGGGGGCCGGCUGCAAACAGGGUCACAUCUGAUGAUGAUGAUGAUGAUGAUGGUGGUGGUGGCCUAUUACAGGGUCACGUCUGAUGAUGAUGAUGGUGAUGAUACUCUGUUCCAGGGGCUGCACUGACAUCAUCUGCUGCAUCCUCUUCAUCGUUGC
This is an RNA transcript of Betta splendens (Siamese fighting fish), 4637 nucleotides long. It is a transcript of the gene named choline transporter-like protein 2, with no coding region annotated. The record is from RefSeq and is a predicted model, not a curated record. The transcript has 4 exons. NCBI's taxonomy places the organism in Eukaryota, Metazoa, Chordata, Actinopteri, Anabantiformes, Osphronemidae.